UGUAAGCGUAUACCAAAGUUGUUGCAGUUAAAACGCUCGUAGUCGGAAUUUGGCAGUUCCGGAUGUGUGCACGUCGUGUGCGCACUUCGCGGGGAUUGCUUUUGUGGUCUUGCGUAGGAUGAGGCACUUUUAUUAGUGAACGUCCUCACGCAACCACUUUUUACUGUGAGAAAAUCAGAGUGCUCAAAGCAGGCAUUUGCCGUGAAUGUAUUAGCAUGGAAUAAUAGAAUAGGACUUGGUUCUAUUUUGUUGGUUUGUUGGGACUGAGUAAUGAUUAAGAGGGACAUUUGGGGGCAUUUGUAUUUCGGUGCUAGAGGUGAAAUUCUUAGAUUACCGAAAGACAAACUGCUGCGAAAGCGUCUGCCAAGGAUGUUUUCAUUGA
RNAcentral lists this ribosomal RNA (382 nucleotides) under uncultured eukaryote. RNAcentral describes it as "partial 18S ribosomal RNA". It matches the Rfam family "Eukaryotic small subunit ribosomal RNA", at positions 592 to 976 of the family's 1831-position model. The record is from RNAcentral.